GCCGAGCUCAGUCACGAGAGCUUGUCACCCAUGUGGGGGCAAAAAGGUGGUGUGGAUGUUUGGUACGAACUAUGGGCCUGGGCCUUUGUUGUAAUCUCGCUGGCCUGCCCGUUCCAAGUUGGCAGUUGGCUGGGGGGCUGUUGCGAAAGUUUCGGCCUCUCUGUCCCUGAAGUGGCAGGCACCGCGUUAGGCUGCUCUGUGCGCUCACUGUCCGCUUCCAACGGUGGAAGGAUAACAGGCCGCUGCACCAUGGGCCCGCUCUGGCUCAAGCUACUUCCAUAACAGACCACCAUCUUU
Molecule: signal recognition particle RNA, 297 nt
Filed under: Hordeum vulgare subsp. vulgare (domesticated barley)
Lineage: Eukaryota; Viridiplantae; Streptophyta; Magnoliopsida; Poales; Poaceae
Description: Plant signal recognition particle RNA
Rfam family: Plant signal recognition particle RNA
Source: Rfam by way of RNAcentral